Molecule: long non-coding RNA, 565 nt
Filed under: Setaria viridis
Lineage: Eukaryota; Viridiplantae; Streptophyta; Magnoliopsida; Poales; Poaceae
Description: long non-coding RNA (SVIR_LNC003919)
Source: RNAcentral
GGGUUUCGACUAGAGAGUGAUGAACUUAGAGGGAAGUGUGCCAACAUGUUGGUCCAAUGGUGGUGGCGUUGGUGCCAUGACAGGUGUUAAAGCAGGGUCGCAGAGGCAACACGAUUGUUUGUUGAGCAACAACACCGUAUGAAGUGAUCAUGAUGAAAAUAACGGUGGGGUGGUGACAACAAGAUCCUACUGUAGUACAACGAGUGGAGGUGAAGAUAGUGGAAGGCACAAACGCAAUCAUGGUCGGACGGAGAAGAAGAGGCGUUGGGUGAGAGGUUGAAUGAAGAUUGAGGUACAUUGGAUGGCCAUCAAAUUAGAGGGUUAUACCUCAUAGACAUCGGGUUUUAUUUUUUCUAUAUUGUAUAUUCUCUCCGUUCCAAAAAGAGGAUAAAUACAUAACUAGAAAUGCACUCUUUUCGGGAUGAAAGGAGUACAGGCUACCGUAUCGACCACUGCAACACGGAUCACUUGCGAAUCUUGUUGUGCUCAUGUACUUCAGCAUGCAAGCGUGAAACUAAGAAUAGGUUGGAUCUCAUAAGGAUUAUAGAAAUCAGCUAAAAAAAUC